ACUCGUCUGGGCGAGGAUAAACAGUGAUUAGGCCCAGAGCGUCCUGGCUCUUUGCCAGGGGUUCAG
RNAcentral lists this ribozyme (66 nucleotides) under unclassified sequences. Its description in RNAcentral is "pistol ribozyme". It matches the Rfam family "Pistol ribozyme". The record is from RNAcentral.